This 2199-nucleotide ribosomal RNA is filed under the name Escherichia coli. Its description in RNAcentral is "partial 23S ribosomal RNA". It matches the Rfam family "Bacterial large subunit ribosomal RNA", at positions 614 to 2798 of the family's 2925-position model. Lineage: Bacteria; Pseudomonadati; Pseudomonadota; Gammaproteobacteria; Enterobacterales; Enterobacteriaceae. The record is from RNAcentral.
AAUGGGUCAGCGACUUAUAUUCUGUAGCAAGGUUAACCGAAUAGGGGAGCCGAAGGGAAACCGAGUCUUAACUGGGCGUUAAGUUGCAGGGUAUAGACCCGAAACCCGGUGAUCUAGCCAUGGGCAGGUUGAAGGUUGGGUAACACUAACUGGAGGACCGAACCGACUAAUGUUGAAAAAUUAGCGGAUGACUUGUGGCUGGGGGUGAAAGGCCAAUCAAACCGGGAGAUAGCUGGUUCUCCCCGAAAGCUAUUUAGGUAGCGCCUCGUGAAUUCAUCUCCGGGGGUAGAGCACUGUUUCGGCAAGGGGGUCAUCCCGACUUACCAACCCGAUGCAAACUGCGAAUACCGGAGAAUGUUAUCACGGGAGACACACGGCGGGUGCUAACGUCCGUCGUGAAGAGGGAAACAACCCAGACCGCCAGCUAAGGUCCCAAAGUCAUGGUUAAGUGGGAAACGAUGUGGGAAGGCCCAGACAGCCAGGAUGUUGGCUUAGAAGCAGCCAUCAUUUAAAGAAAGCGUAAUAGCUCACUGGUCGAGUCGGCCUGCGCGGAAGAUGUAACGGGGCUAAACCAUGCACCGAAGCUGCGGCAGCGACGCUGAUGCGUUGUUGGGUAGGGGAGCGUUCUGUAAGCCUGUGAAGGUGUGCUGUGAGGCAUGCUGGAGGUAUCAGAAGUGCGAAUGCUGACAUAAGUAACGAUAAAGCGGGUGAAAAGCCCGCUCGCCGGAAGACCAAGGGUUCCUGUCCAACGUUAAUCGGGGCAGGGUGAGUCGACCCCUAAGGCGAGGCCGAAAGGCGUAGUCGAUGGGAAACAGGUUAAUAUUCCUGUACUUGGUGUUACUGCGAAGGGGGGACGGAGAAGGCUAUGUUGGCCGGGCGACGGUUGUCCCGGUUUAAGCGUGUAGGCUGGUUUUCCAGGCAAAUCCGGAAAAUCAAGGCUGAGGCGUGAUGACGAGGCACUACGGUGCUGAAGCAACAAAUGCCCUGCUUCCAGGAAAAGCCUCUAAGCAUCAGGUAACAUCAAAUCGUACCCCAAACCGACACAGGUGGUCAGGUAGAGAAUACCAAGGCGCUUGAGAGAACUCGGGUGAAGGAACUAGGCAAAAUGGUGCCGUAACUUCGGGAGAAGGCACGCUGAUAUGUAGGUGAAGCGACUUGCUCGUGGAGCUGAAAUCAGUCGAAGAUACCAGCUGGCUGCAACUGUUUAUUAAAAACACAGCACUGUGCAAACACGAAAGUGGACGUAUACGGUGUGACGCCUGCCCGGUGCCGGAAGGUUAAUUGAUGGGGUUAGCGCAAGCGAAGCUCUUGAUCGAAGCCCCGGUAAACGGCGGCCGUAACUAUAACGGUCCUAAGGUAGCGAAAUUCCUUGUCGGGUAAGUUCCGACCUGCACGAAUGGCGUAAUGAUGGCCAGGCUGUCUCCACCCGAGACUCAGUGAAAUUGAACUCGCUGUGAAGAUGCAGUGUACCCGCGGCAAGACGGAAAGACCCCGUGAACCUUUACUAUAGCUUGACACUGAACAUUGAGCCUUGAUGUGUAGGAUAGGUGGGAGGCUUAGAAGUGUGGACGCCAGUCUGCAUGGAGCCGACCUUGAAAUACCACCCUUUAAUGUUUGAUGUUCUAACGUUGACCCGUAAUCCGGGUUGCGGACAGUGUCUGGUGGGUAGUUUGACUGGGGCGGUCUCCUCCUAAAGAGUAACGGAGGAGCACGAAGGUUGGCUAAUCCUGGUCGGACAUCAGGAGGUUAGUGCAAUGGCAUAAGCCAGCUUGACUGCGAGCGUGACGGCGCGAGCAGGUGCGAAAGCAGGUCAUAGUGAUCCGGUGGUUCUGAAUGGAAGGGCCAUCGCUCAACGGAUAAAAGGUACUCCGGGGAUAACAGGCUGAUACCGCCCAAGAGUUCAUAUCGACGGCGGUGUUUGGCACCUCGAUGUCGGCUCAUCACAUCCUGGGGCUGAAGUAGGUCCCAAGGGUAUGGCUGUUCGCCAUUUAAAGUGGUACGCGAGCUGGGUUUAGAACGUCGUGAGACAGUUCGGUCCCUAUCUGCCGUGGGCGCUGGAGAACUGAGGGGGGCUGCUCCUAGUACGAGAGGACCGGAGUGGACGCAUCACUGGUGUUCGGGUUGUCAUGCCAAUGGCACUGCCCGGUAGCUAAAUGCGGAAGAGAUAAGUGCUGAAAGCAUCUAAGCACGAAACUUGCC